Molecule: long non-coding RNA, 1926 nt
Organism: Leopardus geoffroyi (Geoffroy's cat)
Lineage: Eukaryota; Metazoa; Chordata; Mammalia; Carnivora; Felidae
Exons: 3
Source: RefSeq, a predicted model, not a curated record
CCGACGCGGGGCUCGAACUCACGGACCGCGAGAUCAUGACCUGCGCUGAAGUCGGGGUGCUUAACCCACGGAGCCACCCAGGCGCCCCAUGGGUGCUUUAUAGGAGUGGUUCUGUGGGUGUGAUGGUGAGAAGUCAGACCGCAACGUUCAAGGAAUGAAUUAGAGAUGGGAAAACCGAGGCACAAAGAGGCUGAGCAAACUGCCUACUGACACACAGCCAACAGAGGAGCGGCUCUGCUUUGUUCCCCCAGGCGUCCAAAGUAGAAGGACGCGUUCCAGGAGGUGGUGGAGCUUGCGACUGACCAAAGUCAAAAGUUCGCGGUGUUCCGAGAAUUCAAACAGGAGAGGUAAAUACGCCCUGCUUCCUCAAUAUCCUCUCGACUCCCUCCCGACUCUAUUUUGGGUGACUCUCCAAGCCAUGCUUACUCCAUUCAGAAUCUCCUUUCACAGCCAUAACCAUUAAGAAGUCCAUGAGGAAAAAAUCUCUUCUGAUGGGGAAGCCUCAGGGGAAAGGGCCAGCGACAGCCAGACUCUGACCUGGGACCCAAAGAGCCCAUAAUGGAUGAGACCCGACAGCGGUCUGAGUCUUGAGCCAAGGCUGCGUGUCGUGUUCUUAGAAGGUUCUGAACUGAUGCUGAGGCGGUAAAGAGGAAAUGGAGAAGUCAAGAGAUGCGGAGAAGAUCGGGUUGACCAGAUGGCUGUGGAGAAAGAAGGAGAAGGACGGUGCCCUAACAUCUGGCUUGGCGUUGGGCUGGCGCACAGUGGGAGUAGCAGUGUCCUUGAUUUGCUAUUUUUGAAAUCCAAAGCAAAAGGGUCCCUUCUGGAAUUGAUAACUCCCAACCACCGGGUUCCAGUCUCUCCGCCUUGAAAGGAAUUCUCCUUACGUGACCCUGGUUAUACAACUGGUGUGGGAUAGACACCCCACCAAAGUGUUCCUGGAAGGCCUCCCCGUAAUGAAAGUCAUUUCUACUCUGACCCCACAGCGUCUUGGGCUUUACUUCUCGUCUUCCCCAACCACACGUCGGGGUGGGAACCAUCUGACUCCAACUCCAUUCUUGCCUUUGGCUGUGCUACGUCUUUCUUUCCGCGUAACAAGCUCCCAGUCACAUUUCAAGAGCCUGCUUACUUUCUGAACCCUACAGAAACCUUUCUGCCCCAUCUCAGGCAGAAUUAUUUACUCUUUUCUCUGCCAUCUUCUUAGAUUUUGCAAAGGUCUCCUCUGCUAAUCAAAGGGGAAGAAUUCUUUACUUUUCAUCUCAAUAUUUGCUGAGUUUUUAUAAAUAAGCACUCGGUAAAUAUUGAAGACAUAAGCAAACAAAUGAAUGUCUGAAAUGCGUAAAUUAGUCCUUGUCUUCAAUGGCUUAUUUUGCUACUUAGAAACAGCAAAGGGUUAGUAGAGCCAUGAAAUGAAGGCUUCUAGCACUUGGCUAUUUGUCUGGAAGGCCUCGGUCACCACUUGCCAGCUGUCAGGGGAAAUCACAUCACCUUUGAACCUGAGUGUGUUUCCUCCGCUGUAAAUCUGGGUGGAUGACACCCAACCAGGGGUGACAUCGUUGUGAAGGUUCAGCUGGUAAGCGUGUGCAGGGUGCAUGGCGCCAUGCAUCAAUACUGGGUAUCUGUCAGGAAGUGGUAGAUGGUGGCGGUGGUGACAGGGAGAUAGUUGCAUGAUUUUCUUCUGUGAAGGGGUUCUCUCUUAAAAGAAUGGUUAUCGUAGGUUGAAACCUAUCCCUCAAAGAUAUACGUUGAGGCCCUAACCCCUCAAAUGUGUGAUUGUGACCUUAUUUGGAAACAGGGUCUUACAGAUAUUGUCAAAUUAAGAUGAGGUUAUCCUCCACUAUGGUGGGCCCUAAUCCAAUAAUUGCUGUCCUUGUAAGGAAAGUGGAUUUUGUUUCUUUUGUUUUGUUUCUUCAGCUUUAUUGAGGUGUA